CCUACGGGAGGCAGCAGUAGGGAAUAUUCCACAAUGGGCGCAAGCCUGAUGGAGCAACACCGCGUGAGUGAAGAAGGGUUUCGGCUCGUAAAGCUCUGUUGUUGGAGAAGAACGUGCGUGAGAGUAACUGUUCACGCAGUGACUGUAUCCAAACAGAACGUCACGGCUAACUACGUGACAGCAGCCGCGGUAAUGCGUAGGUGGCAGGCGUUAUCCGGAUUUAUUGGGCGUAAAGGGAGCGCAGGCGGUUGCUUAGGUCUGAUGUGAAAGCCUUCGGCUUAACCGAAGAAGUGCAUCGGAUACCGGGCGUCUUGAGUGCAGAAGAGGACAGUGGAACUCCAGGUGUAGCGGUGGAAUGCGUAGAUAUAUGGAAGAACACCAGUGGCGAAGGCGGCUGUCUGGUCUGCAACUGACGCUGAGGCUCGAAAGCAUGGGUAGCGAACAGGAUUAGAUACCCGAGUAGUC
This 465-nucleotide ribosomal RNA is filed under the name uncultured bacterium. Its description in RNAcentral is "partial 16S ribosomal RNA". It matches the Rfam family "Bacterial small subunit ribosomal RNA", at positions 338 to 795 of the family's 1533-position model. The record is from RNAcentral.